UGUUAAAAAUUACAUCCAUUUCUACUGUUAAAAACUAGUGUGGUUGACAGAAAAAUUAGGUAGUUAAAUGUGGUGUGACACGUGUUCCUCAUUCUGAUAUACAAAGACCAGUUUUUAAUAGUAGAAAUGAAUGGAAUUUUUAACA
Molecule: non-coding RNA, 145 nt
Organism: Gossypium hirsutum (cotton)
Lineage: Eukaryota; Viridiplantae; Streptophyta; Magnoliopsida; Malvales; Malvaceae
Source: Rfam